GGGUUGUGAGGUUAAGCGACUAAGCGUACACGGUGGAUGCCCUGGCAGUCAGAGGCGAUGAAGGACGUGCUAAUCUGCGAUAAGCGCCGGUAAGGUGAUAUGAACCGUUAUAACCGGCGAUUUCCGAAUGGGGAAACCCAGUGUGAUUCGUCACACUAUCAUUAACUGAAUCCAUAGGUUAAUGAGGCGAACCGGGGGAACUGAAACAUCUAAGUACCCCGAGGAAAAGAAAUCAACCGAGAUUCCCCCAGUAGCGGCGAGCGAACGGGGAGGAGCCCAGAGCCUGAAUCAGCAUGUGUGUUAGUGGAAGCGUCUGGAAAGGCGCGCGAUACAGGGUGACAGCCCCGUACACAAAAGCGCAUGUGCUGUGAGCUCGAUGAGUAGGGCGGGACACGUGGUAUCCUGUCUGAAUAUGGGGGGACCAUCCUCCAAGGCUAAAUACUCCUGACUGACCGAUAGUGAACCAGUACCGUGAGGGAAAGGCGAAAAGAACCCCGGCGAGGGGAGUGAAAAAGAACCUGAAACCGUGUACGUACAAGCAGUGGGAGCACCCUUCGGGGUGUGACUGCGUACCUUUUGUAUAAUGGGUCAGCGACUUAUAUUCUGUAGCAAGGUUAACCGUAUAGGGGAGCCGGAGGGAAACCGAGUCUUAAUUGGGCGUUAAGUUGCAGGGUAUAGACCCGAAACCCGGUGAUCUAGCCAUGGGCAGGUUGAAGGUUGGGUAACACUAACUGGAGGACCGAACCGACUAAUGUUGAAAAAUUAGCGGAUGACCUGUGGCUGGGGGUGAAAGGCCAAUCAAACCGGGAGAUAGCUGGUUCUCCCCGAAAGCUAUUUAGGUAGCGCCUCGUGAAUUCAUCUCCGGGGGUAGAGCACUGUUUCGGCUAGGGGGCCAUCCCGGCUUACCAACCCGAUGCAAACUGCGAAUACCGGAGAAUGUUAUCACGGGAGACACACGGCGGGUGCUAACGUCCGUCGUGAAGAGGGAAACAACCCAGACCGCCAGCUAAGGUCCCAAAGUCAUGGUUAAGUGGGAAACGAUGUGGGAAGGCCCAGACAGCCAGGAUGUUGGCUUAGAAGCAGCCAUCAUUUAAAGAAAGCGUAAUAGCUCACUGGUCGAGUCGGCCUGCGCGGAAGAUGUAACGGGGCUAAACCAUGCACCGAAGCUGCGGCAGCGAACGUAUCACCCAAGACAACUUUACGGAGUUGACGAUUGACGGAGCGAAGCGACGUCAAAGCGUUCAUUAAAGUCGAGUUGGCUUAGGGAUACGUUCGUUGGGUAGGGGAGCGUUCUGUAAGCCUGUGAAGGUGUGUCGUGAGGCAUGCUGGAGGUAUCAGAAGUGCGAAUGCUGACAUAAGUAACGAUAAAGCGGGUGAAAAGCCCGCUCGCCGGAAGACCAAGGGUUCCUGUCCAACGUUAAUCGGGGCAGGGUGAGUCGACCCCUAAGGCGAGGCCGAAAGGCGUAGUCGAUGGGAAACGGGUUAAUAUUCCCGUACUUGGUGUUACUGCGAAGGGGGGACGGAGAAGGCUAUGUUGGCCGGGCGACGGUUGUCCCGGUUUAAGCGUGUAGGUGUGUGUUCCAGGUAAAUCCGGUUCACUUUAACACUGAGGCGUGACGACGAGGCACUACGGUGCUGAAGCAACAAAUGCCCUGCUUCCAGGAAAAGCCUCUAAGCAUCAGGUAACACGAAAUCGUACCCCAAACCGACACAGGUGGUCAGGUAGAGAAUACCAAGGCGCUUGAGAGAACUCGGGUGAAGGAACUAGGCAAAAUGGUGCCGUAACUUCGGGAGAAGGCACGCUGACACGUAGGUGAAGUGAUUUACUCAUGGAGCUGAAGUCAGUCGAAGAUACCAGCUGGCUGCAACUGUUUAUUAAAAACACAGCACUGUGCAAACACGAAAGUGGACGUAUACGGUGUGACGCCUGCCCGGUGCCGGAAGGUUAAUUGAUGGGGUCAGCGUAAGCGAAGCUCCUGAUCGAAGCCCCGGUAAACGGCGGCCGUAACUAUAACGGUCCUAAGGUAGCGAAAUUCCUUGUCGGGUAAGUUCCGACCUGCACGAAUGGCGUAAUGAUGGCCAGGCUGUCUCCACCCGAGACUCAGUGAAAUUGAACUCGCUGUGAAGAUGCAGUGUACCCGCGGCAAGACGGAAAGACCCCGUGAACCUUUACUAUAGCUUGACACUGAACAUUGAGCCUUGAUGUGUAGGAUAGGUGGGAGGCUUUGAAGUGUGGACGCCAGUCUGCAUGGAGCCGACCUUGAAAUACCACCCUUUAAUGUUUGAUGUUCUAACGUGGACCCGUAAUCCGGGUUGCGGACAGUGUCUGGUGGGUAGUUUGACUGGGGCGGUCUCCUCCUAAAGAGUAACGGAGGAGCACGAAGGUUGGCUAAUCCUGGUCGGACAUCAGGAGGUUAGUGCAAUGGCAUAAGCCAGCUUGACUGCGAGCGUGACGGCGCGAGCAGGUGCGAAAGCAGGUCAUAGUGAUCCGGUGGUUCUGAAUGGAAGGGCCAUCGCUCAACGGAUAAAAGGUACUCCGGGGAUAACAGGCUGAUACCGCCCAAGAGUUCAUAUCGACGGCGGUGUUUGGCACCUCGAUGUCGGCUCAUCACAUCCUGGGGCUGAAGUAGGUCCCAAGGGUAUGGCUGUUCGCCAUUUAAAGUGGUACGCGAGCUGGGUUUAGAACGUCGUGAGACAGUUCGGUCCCUAUCUGCCGUGGGCGCUGGAGAACUGAGGGGGGCUGCUCCUAGUACGAGAGGACCGGAGUGGACGCAUCACUGGUGUUCGGGUUGUCAUGCCAAUGGCACUGCCCGGUAGCUAAAUGCGGAAGAGAUAAGUGCUGAAAGCAUCUAAGCACGAAACUUGCCCCGAGAUGAGUUCUCCCUGAGACUUAGAGUCUCCUGAAGGAACGUUGAAGACGACGACGUUGAUAGGCCGGGUGUGUAAGCGCAGCGAUGCGUUGAGCUAACCGGUACUAAUUAGAACGUCGUGAGACAGUUCGGUCCCUAUCUGCCGUGGGCGCUGGAGAACUGAGGGGGGCUGCUCCUAGUACGAGAGGACCGGAGUGGACGCAUCACUGGUGUUCGGGUUGUCAUGCCAAUGGCACUGCCCGGUAGCUAAAUGCGGAAGAGAUAAGUGCUGAAAGCAUCUAAGCACGAAACUUGCCCCGAGAUGAGUUCUCCCUGAGACUUAGAGUCUCCUGAAGGAACGUUGAAGACGACGACGUUGAUAGGCCGGGUGUGUAAGCGCAGCGAUGCGUUGAGCUAACCGGUACUAAUCUGCC
Molecule: ribosomal RNA, 3283 nt
Filed under: Salmonella enterica subsp. enterica serovar Typhimurium
Lineage: Bacteria; Pseudomonadati; Pseudomonadota; Gammaproteobacteria; Enterobacterales; Enterobacteriaceae
Description: bacterial LSU rRNA
Rfam family: Bacterial large subunit ribosomal RNA
Source: RNAcentral